GAUUAAACUUUCCUUCGGGAAGAUAUAAAGUGGCGCACGGGUGAGUAACACGUAGGUAAUGUACCUUUGGGUGGGGAAUAACUUAGGGAAACUUAAGCUAAUACCGCAUAAUGCAGCGGCUCCUUCGGGAGACAGUUGUUAAAGAUUUAUCGCCUAAAGAGCAGCCUGCGGCAGAUUAGCUAGUUGGUAAGGUAACGGCUUACCAAGGCUACGAUCUGUAUCCGACCUGAGAGGGUGGUCGGACACACUGACACUGAAUAACGGGUCAGACUCCUACGGGAGGCAGCAGUCGGGAAUUUUGGGCAAUGGGCGAAAGCCUGACCCAGCAACGCCGCGUGAAGGAUGAAGUCUUUCGGGAUGUAAACUUCGUAAGAAUAGGAAGAAUAAAUGACGGUACUAUUUGUAAGGUCCGGCUAACUACGUGCCAGCAGCCGCGGUAAUACGUAGGGACCAAGCGUUGUUCGGAUUUACUGGGCGUAAAGGGCGCGUAGGCGGCGUGACAAGUCAAUUGUGAAAUCUCCGGGCUUAACUCGGAACGGUCAAUUGAUACUGUUGUGCUAGAGUACAGAAGGGGCAAUCGGAAUUCUUGGUGUAGCGGUGAAAUGCGUAGAUAUCAAGAGGAACACCUGAGGUGAAGACGGGUUGCUGGGCUGAUACUGACGCUGAGGCGCGAAAGCUAGGGUAGCAAACGGGAUUAGA
This 699-nucleotide ribosomal RNA is filed under the name uncultured Acidobacteriota bacterium. Its description in RNAcentral is "bacterial SSU rRNA". It matches the Rfam family "Bacterial small subunit ribosomal RNA", at positions 66 to 782 of the family's 1533-position model. Lineage: Bacteria; Pseudomonadati; Acidobacteriota. The record is from RNAcentral.